AGUGAACGCUGGCGGUAGGCCUAACACAUGCAAGUCGAACGGCAGCACAGUAAGAGCUUGCUCUUACGGGUGGCGAGUGGCGGACGGGUGAGGAAUACAUCGGAAUCUACUUUUUCGUGGGGGAUAACGUAGGGAAACUUACGCUAAUACCGCAUACGACCUACGGGUGAAAGCAUGGGAUCUUCGGACCUUGCGCGAUUGAAUGAGCCGAUGUCGGAUUAGCUAGUUGGCGGGGUAAAGGCCCACCAAGGCGACGAUCCGUAGCUGGUCUGAGAGGAUGAUCGGCGACACUGGAACUGAGACACGGUCCAGACUCCUACGGGAGGCAGCAGUGGGGAAUAUUGGGCAAUGGGCGCAAGCAUGAUCCAGCCAUACCGCGUGGGUGAAGAAGGCCUUCGGGUUGUAAAGACCUUUUGUUGGGAAAGAAAAGCAGCAGGUUAAUACCCCGCUGUUCUGACGGUACCCAAAGAAUAAGCACCGGCUAACUUCGUG
This 492-nucleotide ribosomal RNA is filed under the name uncultured bacterium. RNAcentral's name for it is "partial 16S ribosomal RNA". It matches the Rfam family "Bacterial small subunit ribosomal RNA", at positions 29 to 507 of the family's 1533-position model. The record is from RNAcentral.